UGAGUAUCGAGGUCAAUGGAGUACACAAAGUCAAAGCCAGAAUAUCAUCACUUAGAAAGGUUUUGUAUGGAAAGGCUAUAGUAACUGAACAUAUACUUUGCAAAGACAUUGUGUUCAAUGUUUUAUGUGUGGUGUGACUGCGAGUGUAAAGUGACAUGACACCAGGACCCAAACCAGAGCCAUAGAUGUGUACGUGACACAGUUGAGGAGUAUUGCACCUACACAGACACAAAACCAGUACCUGGAUUGGUUUGAGCCUGAUAUUUAUCUUCCUGGUUUGGUAUGCAAAGCCACUGCAGGGUGUCACGUACAGCGGUAGCGAUGGCUACACAUGCAAGCUCGUAUAGCAUCAUGAGGGCACAGAGUCAUGAGUUGCCCAAGGAAUGCCAAAAAUGCAAAUGCGUGCAUUAUCCACAUAUCUGCAAUUCCCUACUAUGUGAAACCAAGAGGCUUGAUUUUGUGUUGCAAGGAUCAUGAAUGUGAAUCAUUUCUAACAGCCGGUUGGAAGGUUGGAGGCAUGUUCCCAAAGAUCAUCUUCAGCCUCAACUCCAAAGAUUGUGUUGUUGUGAAUAAGAACUGUGUAGGAGUGUUUGUGUGUCUACGUGCAAAAUAUUUCCAAAUGGAGAGCUUCCAGCAUGUGGGCUUGGAACAAUGCAGAGUUCUUGAAGAGAGAAGGAUGUUGAAGAAACUGCACGUAGCCAUCAUAGAGGCGCCAUGGGAGCUCCCUCCCCCCUCCAUUGAACUACAACUGAGGGGGCACAGAGGCUUAGGUGUGGGCAGUGGUGGCUCAAUGGUUAAGGCUCUGGGUUAAUGGUCAGAAGGUCAGGAGCUCAAGCCCCAGCACAACUGAGCUGCCACUGUUGGGCCCCUGAAAAAGUCCCACAACCCUCCCUGCUCCAGGUGUGCUGAAUCAUGACUGACCCUGCCCUCCAACCCCAGCCCCACAACAAGCUGGGAUAUGUGAAAAAAUAAUUUUACUGUGCUGUAAUGUAUAUGUGACAAAUAAAGGCCUCUUAUUCUUCUUCAUUUGUUCCUCUAGGUUUGGGGGUUCAAAUUCUGCCUCCACAGUGUACGUGGAGUUUGCAUGUUUUCCCUGUGCUACAUGCAUUGUAGGUUGAUUGGCAUUUCCAAAUUGUUCAUAGUGUGUGUGCGAUUGUGCCCUGCGAUGGGUUGGCACCCAAUCCAGGGUGUCCCCUACCUUGUGCCUCAGUUCCCUGUUAUAAGCUCCAGGCUCCCCUACAACCCUCUGUAGCAUAAGGGUAUGGAAAAUAGAUGGAUGACUGGAACUAGUGGCAAAGAGUGAACUUAACUACAGACUGCCCAACUACAGGCUGUAUUUUUUUUUUUUUUACUAUAAAUAACUUUUCAUAUAAAAAUCAUUGUCCCAAAUGAUGAUGAUAUUUUAAAAAGUUUUUAAGUUUUAUGACUACAAUUAAAGUGUGUUAAAUAAGUCCUG
Molecule: long non-coding RNA, 1456 nt
Organism: Ictalurus punctatus (channel catfish)
Lineage: Eukaryota; Metazoa; Chordata; Actinopteri; Siluriformes; Ictaluridae
Source: Ensembl